GACGAACGCGGCGGCGUGCCUAAUACAUGCAAGUAGAACGCUGAAGAGAGGAGCUUGCUCUUCUUGGAUGAGUUGCGAACGGGUGAGUAACGCGUAGGUAACCUGCCUGGUAGCGGGGGAUAACUAUUGGAAACGAUAGCUAAUACCGCAUAAUAUUGACUAUUGCAUGAUAGUUGAUUAAAAGGUGCAAUUGCACCACUACCAGAUGGACCUGCGUUGUAUUAGCUAGUUGGUGGGGUAACGGCUCACCAAGGCGACGAUACAUAGCCGACCUGAGAGGGUGAUCGGCCACACUGGGACUGAGACACGGCCCAGACUCCUACGGGAGGCAGCAGUAGGGAAUCUUCGGCAAUGGACGGAAGUCUGACCGAGCAACGCCGCGUGAGUGAAGAAGGUUUUCGGAUCGUAAAGCUCUGUUGUAAGAGAAGAACGAGUGUGAGAGUGGAAAAGUUCACACUGUGACGG
Molecule: ribosomal RNA, 465 nt
Filed under: Streptococcus sp. oral taxon 058
Lineage: Bacteria; Bacillati; Bacillota; Bacilli; Lactobacillales; Streptococcaceae
Description: bacterial SSU rRNA
Rfam family: Bacterial small subunit ribosomal RNA
Source: RNAcentral